Cydia splendana is the source of this 359-nucleotide long non-coding RNA. RefSeq lists it as uncharacterized. NCBI's taxonomy places the organism in Eukaryota, Metazoa, Arthropoda, Insecta, Lepidoptera, Tortricidae. The record is from RefSeq and is a predicted model, not a curated record. The transcript has 2 exons.
UCUAAAAACGUCGCGCUUAAAGUAAAAACAAACUGCUAUUUUCGUUUUUAACAUGAUUUCCCACUCGAAUAAAAUGAAAUUAUCUAACCACAAGAUAUUUCAGGACCUCAGUGAAAGUUUAAAGGAGAAUCCAAGUGGAAAAUUGCGCAAUUUGCUAGAAUUAAGAGAUGAUGUUUUGUAUGUGUGGAAUUCGAUCGAGAACUGUUUAGCGACUUUAAACUUGAAGCAUUUGGAGGAACACGAUGAAGAGACACCUUAUCAGAAACUAUGCCUUCUCUCUCCGCCUCAGUACACUGUGGAACGCAUCACCACCAGCGGCUGUGGCAGUCGCGUCUGCGUCUGGGGUUCCCGUGGGGUCA